AAACUGUUCAGUUAACGGUCUGGUAUGGAAGAAGAUAUGACGCGUGCCAAAAUCCCAUCGGGCAAUUGAACAAAAUGGCGGAGAAGAAUCGUUAGAAUAAUCAUCGCUGUUCAAAGUAACAGCAUUUCUGAUGA
Bombus impatiens (common eastern bumble bee) is the source of this 134-nucleotide long non-coding RNA. RefSeq lists it as uncharacterized. The transcript is spliced from 2 exons. The record is from RefSeq and is a predicted model, not a curated record. Lineage: Eukaryota; Metazoa; Arthropoda; Insecta; Hymenoptera; Apidae.